This 253-nucleotide ribosomal RNA is filed under the name uncultured bacterium. RNAcentral's name for it is "partial 16S ribosomal RNA". It matches the Rfam family "Bacterial small subunit ribosomal RNA", at positions 524 to 776 of the family's 1533-position model. The record is from RNAcentral.
UACGGAGGGUGCGAGCGUUGUCCGGAAUCACUGGGCGUAAAGGGCGCGUAGGCGGCGCGGUAAGCGGGCGGUGAAAGUCCGGGGCUCAACCCCGGAUCGGCCGUGCGGACUGCCGGGCUUGAGCACUGUAGAGGCGGGUGGAAUUCCGGGUGUAGCGGUGGAAUGCGUAGAGAUCCGGAAGAACACCGGUGGCGAAGGCGGCCCGCUGGGCAGUGGCUGACGCUGAGGCGCGACAGCGUGGGGAGCAAACAGG